This 229-nucleotide ribosomal RNA is filed under the name uncultured bacterium. Its description in RNAcentral is "partial 16S ribosomal RNA". It matches the Rfam family "Bacterial small subunit ribosomal RNA", at positions 104 to 334 of the family's 1533-position model. The record is from RNAcentral.
CGGGGUGAGUAAUGUCUGGGAAACUGGCUGAUGGAGGGGGAUAACUGCUGGAAACGGUAGCUAAUACCGCAUAACGUCGCAAGACCAAAGAGGGGGACCUUCGGGCCUCUUGCCAUCGGAUGUGCCCAGAUGGGAUUAGCUAGUAGGUGGGGUAACGGCUCACCUAGGCGACGAUCCCUAGCUGGUCUGAGAGGAUGACCAGCCACACUGGAACUGAGACACGGUCCAG